This 76-nucleotide transfer RNA is filed under the name Stenotrophomonas maltophilia. RNAcentral describes it as "tRNA-His". Lineage: Bacteria; Pseudomonadati; Pseudomonadota; Gammaproteobacteria; Lysobacterales; Lysobacteraceae. The record is from RNAcentral.
GCCAAUGCUACUGGCCUAUAGCCCUUCGCUAUGAUGGAUGCGUAGGUCGCAGGUUCGACUCCUGUUUCCGGCACCA